UACGAAGGGUGCAAGCGUUACUCGGAAUUACUGGGCGUAAAGCGUGCGUAGGUGGUUCGUUAAGUCUGAUGUGAAAGCCCUGGGCUCAACCUGGGAAUUGCAUUGGAUACUGGCGAGCUAGAGUGCGGUAGAGGAUGGCGGAAUUCCCGGUGUAGCAGUGAAAUGCGUAGAGAUCGGGAGGAACAUCUGUGGCGAAGGCGGCUCUCUGGCCAUCAACUGACGCUGAGACGCGAAAGCGUGGGGAGCAAACAGG
RNAcentral lists this ribosomal RNA (253 nucleotides) under uncultured bacterium. RNAcentral describes it as "partial 16S ribosomal RNA". It matches the Rfam family "Bacterial small subunit ribosomal RNA", at positions 524 to 776 of the family's 1533-position model. The record is from RNAcentral.